AGGGUUCGAUUCUGGCUCAGGAUGAACGCUAGCUACAGGCUUAACACAUGCAAGUCGAGGGGCAUCGAGAAGAAAGCUUGCUUCUUGUCGGCGACCGGCGCACGGGUGAGUAACGCGUAUCCAACCUUCCCUUAGUAGGGCACAGCCCGGCGAAAGUCGGAUUAAUACCCUAUGUUAUUCGUCGAGGACAUCUGAAGUGAAUCAAAGGUUUACCGCUAAGGGAUGGGGAUGCGUCUGAUUAGGUAGUCGGCGGGUAACGGCCCACCGAGCCAACGAUCAGUAGGGGUUCUGAGAGGAAGGUCCCCCACAUUGGUACUGAGACACGGACCAAACUCCUACGGGAGGCAGCAGUGAGGAAUAUUGGUCAAUGGGCGAGAGCCUGAACCAGCCAAGUAGCGUGCAAGGAUGACGGCCCUAUGGGUUGUAAACUGCUUUUGCAGGGGAAUAAAGUGAGGCACGUGUGCCUUUUUGUAUGUACCCUGAGAAUAAGGACCGGCUAAUUCCGUGCCAGCCGCAGC
RNAcentral lists this ribosomal RNA (518 nucleotides) under uncultured bacterium. RNAcentral's name for it is "bacterial SSU rRNA". It matches the Rfam family "Bacterial small subunit ribosomal RNA", at positions 8 to 518 of the family's 1533-position model. The record is from RNAcentral.